GGUCGUUCUGAUGGAAUUAUCUGUAUCUGGAAAGGGAAUUAAAACAACAGCAACAGCCAUAACCACAAAAAUUAAUAACAUUUAUAUAGUGAGCUUAACUUCUUCAGCUACAAUUGUCAACUGGAAAAUAAUCCUGGGUCACAACAGAUGAGAAGUUGAGCCUGAGAGUUAGCAUGCCAUCAUGUGUGCUGCAUCAUGACAAACGCAAAAUUCAGUUUCGUUCAUCGUGCUGUAGCCUUAUGAGGCUUUGCCCUCGGGUGGGAAAAAAUAUUGCGCCCGGGAAAGGGAAGUGGGAGUCAACAGACACUCAAGGAAUAGUUUCGGAGAAAAAGGUUUUAUUUCUAUCACCCAUGAACUGGUAGAAGGAGCAAGUGUGAUAGUCCACAAAAGCAUGCACGAAGUUCACAGUCAUGUGCACAAGCAUAUAUACCCCUUUCUAGUUCCCUCCUCCUUUCUCCUCCUUCCAGAGUCCUGCCCCAUGAGUUCCUCUGAACAUGAACAGAAAGCUGUCUUGGGACUAUUGGACUCUUGGUGCCCUUCCCAGGAAAGGGGUUUCAGAGUGUUCAGAUAUGUUUCAAUCUCUUGUUCUGGCAUGGUUCCCAGACAGAAAGUAAGUUGCAAUGUGGUUCUUUAGCAAGGCCAGAAGGCAUGAGAAAGGCCUGAGAAACAAUGGACUGUUCUCUACCUUUUGUUACAGCAGAGCAGAAUGUUUCUGAUGCUUAGCUGCUGAGAAAAUGAUUUUGAAAAGCUUUGAGAAGCUUUGAGCCUGCUUUGGAGGGGGUGACUUCGGGCCUAGGUGGGGUCACCUGUUCUCACCUCCUACAUUCCCCCCUCUUAAUCUUUGGACAGCCUUUUUCUCAAAAAGGCUCGUCCCAGGAAGGCACAGGCUGGUAUACUUGGGCCAGCGCUAUAAUCUGGGGGCGAAGCAUGCGUGCAGAUACCCCCCCCCCCCCUUCUGAAGCCCACAUUGCAGCCAGAAAAGUUCCUAGCGUGGACUCAGGUGUAACGGUUUGGGCUGGGAACGUACAUGUCAGAUUGUCACUGGCGCUCUUUGAUUUAUUGACACAAAGCCAGCCAGUAAUUCGGUGAUGGAAUGAUCGAGGCUGUAACUGAUGAUUCAUUCCAAGGCACAGGAAGGAGCGGCAGUCCCCUCAGAGCAUCUACAGGUGCCAAAGUGCAGACGGUGCUAAUCUGUGCCAUUCGUGCACAGGGUUAUUACCAAGUUGGUACUGUGGUUCAAAGGGGGCUUUAGUUAAGUUCUGGAGGCUCUGGGUGGAGCUCUGCCAGGUGGCAAGACAAUGAAAGGAGGCCGGGGCAUCAUUUCCCUGAUUGAACAUCCCACACAAAUACCCUCCUCUGCAGGGGUGUUGUAAGGCUAUCCAGGGGCCCUCAACCUUCUAUAAAGUUCAAUUAUGCAAAAGGAAAGAAAUAAAAUGAGAAAAUGUCCUCUUUCAAUCCAUGCUGGAUUCUUGAGCCGUGCAAAGCGUCAGUGUGAUGCAGGAAGGCAGGGUGGUCAUCUCACGGGCGUCGGGGCGUCUGGUGGGCGUUGGACAUCUUGGGUCUCUUCCAACAAGGCUGGAGAGUCUGGGGUGAGUCGAAGGGGCCGGUGUAGAUCAGGUGUCACAGAUGCCGGUGACAUCCAACAGCUGUAGAGAAACAGGACAGUCUCUGGCCGGUUUACCUGUCAAGAGAAGAGAAAAACAGACACGGCAGCGACUGUGCAUUGAUAGAUAACAUUCACACACAAGGCGUAUUAACUCAAAAGGGUAUGCUUGGCAGGAAACUUCGCAAGGGGUUAACAGUCCUGUUCCUUGGGUUAAGUUUUUGCCAGCUGAGAUUUUUAAAAGUCUUUGUCUCUGCGCACUAUUUUCUUCAGAGCCAUGUUGCAAAUUUCAGUUCAUUUGCCAAAGUCUGCCAGUGUUAAGCAGGAGGGGCACUGUGUUCCCUGGCUUCUGGCAAAGUAUCAAAUUCCUCAAAGUAUCAAUUCCUAUGUUAUGCUGCGGCUCCUUUUUCAGAGUAAAAUUGCACCUUAAAAAUGAUUUUUUUUUUGGACAAAGUUCACAGAAAGCAUUCACUUGCUUUUUUAAGAAAGUCACUUUCCAGGUUAGUACAGGGAGUGGGCAACCCUUGGCCUUCUGGGUUUUUUUUGUCGCUUGACUGUAAAUCCAAAUUGGCUCCAGGUAGUAGCAGGUCAGAGUAGCUGGCUGAAUGCAGCAGUGUCCUUCUGAGAUAGCUGCCAAGAGAUAAGCUACUCCAAGCGCCUGGCACAAGGGGGGGAAAAGCUGAUGUCCUGUUACUUGCAUGAAUGAAUGUUAGAAACAGUUACUUCACUUGCUUCUAGCUGCAACAGUCUUUUAGCAAGAACAGAGAUGAGAAGAAAUCAUUUUUGAGAAAUCUGAUUGUUCCCAGCCUGUGGGGGUGGGGUGUGUCGGGCGUGGGGCCUGUGGGCAUUCCAUUGCCCAAUGACCCUCUUGCCUGCAGAUGGCGCACUGGCUUCUUCCCUAGGCAUCUUCUGCCCCUCCCGUGGACACCCUCCGGGAUUACAUUUUUGGCUGCUGGCUGCUUGAAGACAAACCCCUAAUUAUUUUGGCUGGGUCCUCUUCGAAAGAAGGAUUCUGAUUUAGGGGGCUUGGAGGUCUGUGGUCCUGGGCGUCGGAUGACUCCAGGGGGCCGUACAGUCGGUGGGGUGGGGCCAUCAAAGUGGAGUUUUAGCUGCCUCAAUUGCAACUUUUAGCUGCCUCAAUUGCAACAUCAGUAUUGUCCGCUGCCCUGAGGGCAUUUAUCUUGCGGAUUUCCUCAAUGGUCAGUAUUGUAAUCCUAGGGCUGUGCCCUCGGGUUUAAUUGUCUAUCUCUCUUUUUUUAAAACAGUUCUGUCCUAUGCGGCUCUCAAAGCCUUCUGCUCUGUUUCUUUCUGUCUGUCAAUUCACAUCCUUGCAUUGUGCUGCUCCUAGAACUCAAGAAGCCACAUCCAGCUCACUCUUUUGGAUUGCUUGCUGGCUCUAUCUCACGUUGCUCUUUAAAAUCUUCUGCUCUUUUCUUUCUGCCAAUUCACAUACUGAAAUACUCUUUUGGACUGUCUGCUUGUCCAUUUCACCUGAUUCCUUCUGAGUUUCACCAUUCUCAACUUCCUCUUGUCUUUCUUCCUCAGUCUCUUUGCUUUUGGGGGUUGGGUAGGGGGAACCUCAUUUAGCCCUGGUGCAGUUGCUGCAUAGGGUGGAGGGGGGCUAAUUAUUCCUCCUUCUUCUUCUGGGUCUGGCAAGACUGCUGUUUUUUUCUAACUUGUACUUGCUGCCAUACUGGGCACAGUUUUGGCUUGGGCUAAUCACAGUUUUGCUUUUCCUAAGCCAUGGGGGAACGGUUAGGAACUUCACAUAAGUGUUUGGAGUCUAUUUUUCUUCAGUUUUUUAAAAUCCCCAAUCUUCUCCCUUUGUGGCAUCUUUCCAAUUCCCCCCCCCCCCAGGAAACAUCGCAGGGGGGUCGUGGGAGUUGUUUUACUGCUCUUUCUCCAUGACCCUGGGACCCUGGAACACUUGGGAUACUGGGACACUCCCUUCUCCUAAUGUCAUUUCUCUCACUCAGUCACAGACCACACGUUGCUUUCAACGUCUCACACACUCAAAACAUUCACUGGAGUGUCCCCACACGCACAUUCAGAAAAACCCAUGCACCUCCCUCAAUCCCCUUUUUACCAAAACCAAAACCACAACCGGCAGCGCUUAGACUUCGACCAGGGCCCAGCAGACCCUUUACUGCUUUUUCUGGGCGACACCAAAACCAGUGGCACUUUUUCUACCCUACUGGUCGGGCUGAUCAGGCCCUGUUUGUUUGCUCCCACCUACAGCCUGUGGAGCUUGCUCCCACCUAUACCCUGUGGAGCCUACUUUGUUUCUCGAGGUACCUUCUUUCUGCACGGCCGUUGCUUUUUCUCCGGUCCUUGCAGUGUGUCCACUCAGGAACGGGUGGCAAUUCCUCCUACGAACUUGGCAGGAUGUGCACUGGAACUGCUGACAUGAACCGAGCUGUUCACCGCAGGAACGCCUUGAACCCACAUCCCUUAUCCUCAGGGAAUCUGUUUUUCCCGGCCAAUCGCACCAAGAGUGCAGCCUCUUUGCCGCAAUGUUGCACCUGAGAGAUCCUUCCUGUUUAUGGGAUGUAACAUCACUGAAGCAGUCAAAUACAACAUUUCCUGUUUGCCCAGAGUGGACACACAGGGGGAUGUUGCUCCAGCCAGGAGGACUUCCUGUCACACCUGAUCUGGAGCUUCCUCUCCCUGCAUGUGACCAGGUAGAUGGGCAUGACCCUGGUAGAUCCUAUAAAAGAGCUGGUCACGCAGCCAUCUUCCUCUUUCCCCCUUAUUCCAUCUUGCCUUUUGCUGUCUGCUGGCUCUCAGCCAGCAGACAUGGAGCCCAUCCCUCACAGAGGAUGAAUCCACGCUUUUCUCUGUAACUGUAACUACAAGCUAAAGCCUGCCUUCAGGACCAUGCUGUGAACUGAAUGUAAGUAAACCUUAUCAUUACUUUUAAAAGAAGACUGUUGCGUCAUUCUUGUUUUUAAGAGGGAACUAAAGGGGAUUUACCAGGAAUAAUCCAAUCUGGACAAGCCAGACUGGAUUGCUUAACUCAAAUGGUUCUAAUGAAUCUAUCAACCAGCUUCCUGCUAUUUACAAGGGAAUGUGCUCUGCUAUUAGCUCACUAGCAUGAGUAAGGAAGGAUAAUGUUUAAUCAAUAUAUCCUCUCCUACUAUCCACAACAUUCCCACACUGUUGAGACUUCUCAGUGACUUUGAUACGGCAUCCAACCCUAAUUCAUUGCACGGGUGGGAAUAGGGAUAGGCUAUGUGUGGCCCUCCAGAUGACUACAACUCCCAUCAUUCCUAAUCAUCAGCCAUGCUGGUUGGGGCAGAUGGGAGGUGGAGACCAACCAUACCUGGAGCACUUUACAGCAUGUUAUGGUCUAAUAGAAAAUUAUAUAAAGAUGAUAUAUCGAUGGUAUCUAACACCGAGUAAGUUAGCAAAAAUGUAUAAAUCAAAAUCAAAUAAGUGUUGGAAAUAUAAUGAGAAUGAAGGUUCUUUUUAUCAUAUGUGGUGGUCUUGUAGUAAGGUUAAAGCUUACUGGGAAAUGAUAUAUAAUGAAAUGAGAAGGAUGUUUAAAAAACCUUUGUAAAAAAAAACCCCAGAAAGCUUUUCUUUUGGGAAUUAUAGGGACAGAGCUACCUAAACUGUAUAGAAACUUAUUCAUGUAUGCUUCUACAGAGGCAAGAAUGUUACUUGCCCCAAAAUGGAAAGAAGUAGAACUCCCAGCAAAGGAAGAAUGGAU
Non-coding RNA from Podarcis lilfordi (Lilford's wall lizard), 5315 nucleotides. NCBI's taxonomy places the organism in Eukaryota, Metazoa, Chordata, Lepidosauria, Squamata, Lacertidae. The record is from the annotation of a GenBank genome assembly.